RNAcentral lists this ribosomal RNA (484 nucleotides) under uncultured bacterium. Its description in RNAcentral is "bacterial SSU rRNA". It matches the Rfam family "Bacterial small subunit ribosomal RNA", at positions 30 to 507 of the family's 1533-position model. The record is from RNAcentral.
AUUGAACGCUGGCGGCAUGCCUUACACAUGCAAGUCGAACGGCAGCACGGGAGCAAUCCUGGUGGCGAGUGGCGAACGGGUGAGUAAUGUAUCGGAACGUACCUUUCAGUGGGGGAUAACGUAGCGAAAGUUACGCUAAUACCGCAUAUUCUGUGAGCAGGAAAGCAGGGGAUCGCAAGACCUUGCGCUGAUUGAGCGGCCGAUAUCAGAUUAGCUAGUUGGUGAGGUAAAGGCUCACCAAGGCGACGAUCUGUAGCGGGUCUGAGAGGAUGAUCCGCCACACUGGAACUGAGACACGGUCCAGACUCCUACGGGAGGCAGCAGUGGGGAAUUUUGGACAAUGGGCGCAAGCCUGAUCCAGCCAUGCCGCGUGAGUGAAGAAGGCCUUCGGGUUGUAAAGCUCUUUCGGCCGGGAAGAAAUCGCACAGGUUAAUACCCUGUGUGGAUGACGGUACCGGAAUAAGAAGCACCGGCUAACUACGUG